RNAcentral lists this unclassified non-coding RNA (331 nucleotides) under uncultured fungus. RNAcentral describes it as "partial contains small subunit ribosomal RNA, internal transcribed spacer 1, and 5.8S ribosomal RNA". The stretch from base 1 to 73 matches the Rfam family "Eukaryotic small subunit ribosomal RNA", at positions 1759 to 1831 of the family's 1831-position model. The record is from RNAcentral. Lineage: Eukaryota; Fungi.
UCAAACUUGGUCAUUUAGAGGAAGUAAAAGUCGUAACAAGGUUUCCGUAGGUGAACCUGCGGAAGGAUCAUUAACGAGUUUUUGAAAGGGGUUGUAGCUGGCUUCCAAAAAAAAUCAAGGAAGCAUGUGCACACCCUACUCAAUCCACUCUCAAACCCCUGUGCACUUACUGUAGGCUUGGUGGGAUGGCUGACUGUAUGGUCAGUUCUGAAAGCCUUGUCUAUGUUUCAUACAAACGCUUCAGUCAAAGAAUGUAACAUUGUGUUUAACACAUUUAAAUACAACUUUCAGCAACGGAUCUCUUGGCUCUCGCAUCGAUGAAGAACGCAGC